AUUGAACGCUAGCGGGAUGCUUUACACAUGCAAGUCGAACGCGUGGCGGACGGGUGAUUACUAUAUCGGAACGUGCCCAGUCACGGGGGAUAACACAUCGAAAGAGUGGCUAAUACCGCAUACUAUUGGAACAGCCGAUAUCGGAUUCGCGAGUUGGUGGAGUAAAGGCUCACCAAGACAACGAUCCGUAGCUGGUUUUAGAGGACGACCAGCCACACUGGGACUGAGACACGGACAAGACUCCUGAGGGAUGAAGCAGUGGGGAAUUUUGGACACUGGGGGAAACCUUGAGCCAGCCCUCCCGCCUGGAUGAGAAGGCCUUCGGGUUUUAAAGGACUUUUGGCAGAGAAUCGGUAUCUGCCGAAUAAGCACCGGCUAACUACGUGCCAGCAGCCGCGGUAAUUC
Molecule: ribosomal RNA, 405 nt
Filed under: uncultured bacterium
Lineage: Bacteria
Description: partial 16S ribosomal RNA
Rfam family: Bacterial small subunit ribosomal RNA
Source: RNAcentral